CUUAUAUCUUCUCUGCGAUUUUCUUUUUUUUUCUCUGUAAACAGUAAAAAAGAUCUGCGGUAGGUGAUGAAAAAAAUAGUUGAAGGCGAUGGAAACAAAAUCAAUGGCGAUUCUUCUUCUUCUAGAUCCGUUCAAAACGGCGAGGCUCAACGCGAUGGAAACUCCGACGGUGAUGGAAACCAUAAUCAACAACUGCAAGUGAUGAAAACAGUAACAGCAACCGUUGAAGGUGAUGAAAAUGGCAACAAUGGCGAUUUCUUCUUCUCGCGAUUCAGAUCUGUUCAGAACAACGACGCCUCUGCCUGAUUUGAUGAGGAAUUCUAUGUGUUUGUUUCGAUUUAUAGUUUAUUUUGGUUUUGGAUAAUUUUGAUUUAGUGUUUUGAAUAAGAUUUUAGGUUUUCUAUGAUUUAGGGUUCUUAUUGUUCUUAUUCUUCUUCUUUUACGGUUUUUUCGUGUUUGUAUUUAUUUCAUCUUCAGAUCCUCUUCAGAUCUAGAUUCA
Brassica napus (rape) is the source of this 499-nucleotide long non-coding RNA. RefSeq lists it as uncharacterized. Lineage: Eukaryota; Viridiplantae; Streptophyta; Magnoliopsida; Brassicales; Brassicaceae. The record is from RefSeq and is a predicted model, not a curated record. The transcript is spliced from 2 exons.